This 774-nucleotide ribosomal RNA is filed under the name uncultured Neocallimastigales. RNAcentral's name for it is "partial large subunit ribosomal RNA". It matches the Rfam family "Eukaryotic large subunit ribosomal RNA", at positions 24 to 618 of the family's 3401-position model. The record is from RNAcentral. Lineage: Eukaryota; Fungi; Neocallimastigomycota; Neocallimastigomycetes; Neocallimastigales.
UAUCUCUGUAGAGUCUGCAUAUCAAUAAGCGGAGGAAAAGAAACUAACUAGGAUUCCCUCAGUAACGGCGAGUGAAGGCGGGAAGAGCUCAAAUUUGAAAUCUUCAAGGUUCUACCUUGACGAAUUGUAGUUUAAAGAAGUGUUUUCUGUUGGAGUUUUGGUAAAAGUUCUUUGGAAUAGGACAUCAUAGAGGGUGAGAAUCCCGUAUUUGACCAUUACUUCCAGCGUUGUGAUACACUUUCAAAGAGUCGGAUUGUUUGGGAACGCAGUCCAAAAUGGGUGGUAAAUUUCAUCUAAAGCUAAAUAUUGGCGAGAGACCGAUAGCGAACAAGUACCGUGAGGGAAAGAUGAAAAGAACUUUGAAAAGAGAGUUAAACAGUACGUGAAAUUGUCAAAAGGGAAGCGUUUGACACCAGUGUUGUUUCUACGAAAAUCAAUUUAUGAUGGCUUGAUGCUAAGCUUUAAGACUUUAUCCGCUUGUUGUUUAGUUUUCUUGUCUUUGUGAAUGCACUUUUCGUGGAACAAGUCAACAUCAAUUUCUUUUGCUGUAAAAGGGUAAGAGGGAGGUGGCUUCGGCUUCGGUUGAAGUGUUUAUAGCCUUUUAUCUCUGCAGUCGGAGAGAUUGAGGUCUGCAGCGUAGACUCUUCGGGGUUAGAUACGUCGGUGCUAAGCUAUAGCUUUUCAUAGACAACUUGUUGACUAUGUUUAGUCAUGUGGCUUACCCGCUGGCGCUAUUUUACCUACGCUUAGGAUGUUGAGUCAUCACACAUCUCU